This 468-nucleotide ribosomal RNA is filed under the name uncultured bacterium. Its description in RNAcentral is "partial 16S ribosomal RNA". It matches the Rfam family "Bacterial small subunit ribosomal RNA", at positions 28 to 507 of the family's 1533-position model. The record is from RNAcentral.
GACGAACGCUGGCGGCGUGCUUAACACAUGCAAGUCGAACGGAAAGGCCCUGCUUUUGUGGGGUGCUCGAGUGGCGAACGGGUGAGUAACACGUGAGUAACCUGCCCUUGACUUUGGGAUAACUUCAGGAAACUGGGGCUAAUACCGGAUAGGAGCUCCUGCUGCAUGGUGGGGGUUGGAAAGUUUCGGCGGUUGGGGAUGGACUCGCGGCUUAUCAGCUUGUUGGUGGGGUAGUGGCUUACCAAGGCUUUGACGGGUAGCCGGCCUGAGAGGGUGACCGGCCACAUUGGGACUGAGAUACGGCCCAGACUCCUACGGGAGGCAGCAGUGGGGAAUAUUGCACCAUGGGCGGAAGCCUGAUGCAGCAACGCCGCGUGCGGGAUGACGGCCUUCGGGUUUGAAACCGCUUUCGCCUGUGACGAAGCGUGAGUGACGGUAAUGGGUAAAGAAGCACCGGCUAACUACGUG